Molecule: ribosomal RNA, 274 nt
Filed under: uncultured bacterium
Lineage: Bacteria
Description: partial 16S ribosomal RNA
Rfam family: Bacterial small subunit ribosomal RNA
Source: RNAcentral
AUACGGAGGGUGCGAGCGUUACUCGGAGUCACUGGGCGUAAAGCGUCCGUAGGCGGUCGGGUAAGUCGGGUGUGAAAGCCCCGGGCUCAACCUGGGAAGUGCACCCGAUACUGCUCGACUCGAGUGCGCGAGAGGAUGGCGGAAUUCCCGGUGUAGCGGUGAAAUGCGUAGAGAUCGGGAGGAACACCAGUGGCGAAGGCGGCCAUCUGGCCCGCAACUGACGCUGAGGGACGAAAGCGUGGGGAGCAAACAGAAUUAGAAACCCUAGUAGUCC